UUUGUUUCAUUGUUUCUCCAAGUCCAAGAAGCCAGACAUGGGUGGGGAGAGUGGUUUUCGUGGUUCUCGAAACUUUUUGCCAAGACUUUAACUCUAUCACUCAUCUUCUCCCAAAACUACUCCCUGAAGAGCCAUGAUUGCUAGCCAUCCUUAUCUUGACGGACCCAAAUCUACUGAUUUGGUGAAGAAAAAGCCUGGAAGAUUUUAGUACCAGUUGGCAUGCAAACUGAAGAGCUGACUUGUAUUGUUCUAUAAAGCAAGGACUUUUGAUAGGAACAAACUCUCUCAUUAGCAAUUUUGUCUUAUGUAAGAUGAAAAUUUGAACUGACACCAUAAAGGACUACAUCGGAGAGAUUAUUCCUGACUGGAAUCAGAAGCUUGCUGGAUAUGUUGCUGUGCUUAUGUCAACACCACUGAAGACAUCCAUCAGAGGAGAAUCUUCAUUAUAAAGUGACCUUGACCACAUUAGAUGUUUUGGAAAAUAACAUCAAGGGAAAUCAGAAUAGAUACUGCAGAGGAUCCAUCAGGUACUCUGCUUCGUUUCUUCCUGCUUUGG
Non-coding RNA from Notechis scutatus (mainland tiger snake), 556 nucleotides. NCBI's taxonomy places the organism in Eukaryota, Metazoa, Chordata, Lepidosauria, Squamata, Elapidae. The record is from RefSeq and is a predicted model, not a curated record.